UAUACGACCGUACCGCAAACCGACACUGGUGCGCGAGAUGAGUAUUCUAAGGCGCUUGAGAGAACUCAGGAGAAGGAACUCGGCAAAUUGACACCGUAACUUCGGAAGAAGGUGUGCCCUAUUAGUGUGUAGUGAACAACGAAGCAUGAAUGGGUUGCAAAAAAUCGGUGGCUGCGACUGUUUAUUAAAAACACAGCACUCUGCAAACACGAAAGUGGACGUAUAGGGUGUGACGCCUGCCCGGUCUGGAAGAUAAAAUGAUGGGGUGCAAGCUCUUGAUUGAAGUCCCAGUAAACGGCGGCCGUAACUAUAACGGUCCUAAGGUAGCGAAAUUCCUUGUCGGGUAAGUUCCGACCUGCACGAAUGGCGUAACGAUGGCCACACUGUCUCCUCCUGAGACUCAGCGAAGUUGAAAUGUUUGUGAUGAUGCAAUCUCCCCGCGGAAAGACGGAAAGACCCCAUGAACCUUUACUGUAGCUUUGUAUUGGACUUUGAACAGAUCUGUGUAGGAUAGGUGGGAGGCUUUGAAGCAGGGUCGCUAGAUCUUGUGGAGCCAACGUUGAAAUACCACCCUGGUGUGUUUGAGGUUCUAACCUAGGUCCAUUAUCUGGAUCGGGGACAGUGCAUGGUAGGCAGUUUGACUGGGGCGGUCUCCUCCCAAAGCGUAACGGAGGAGUUCGAAGGUACGCUAGUUACGGUCGGACAUCGUGACGAUAGUGCAAUGGCAUAAGCGUGCUUAACUGCGAGACUGACAAGUCGAGCAGAUGCGAAAGCAGGACAUAGUGAUCCGGUGGUUCUGUAUGGAAGGGCCAUCGCUCAACGGAUAAAAGGUACUCUGGGGAUAACAGGCUGAUACCGCCCAAGAGUUCAUAUCGACGGCGGUGUCUGGCACCUCGAUGUCGGCUCAUCUCAUCCUGGGGCUGUAGCCGGUCCCAAGGGUAUGGCUGUUCGCCAUUUAAAGAGGUACGUGAGCUGGGUUUAAAACGUCGUGAGACAGUUUGGUCCCUAUCUUCCGUGGGCGCUGCAGAUUUGAGGAAGCCUGCUCCUAGUACGAGAGGACCGGAGUGGACACACCUCUGGUGUAUCGGUUGUCACGCCAGUGGCAUUGCCGAGUAGCUAAGUGUGGAAGAGAUAACCGCUGAAAGCAUCUAAGCGGGGAACUCGUUUCAAGAUGAGAUCUGCCGGGGCCUUGAGCCCCCUAAAGAGUCGUUCAAGACCAGGACGUUGAUAGGUCAGGUGUGGAAGC
RNAcentral lists this ribosomal RNA (1246 nucleotides) under metagenome. RNAcentral's name for it is "bacterial LSU rRNA". It matches the Rfam family "Bacterial large subunit ribosomal RNA", at positions 1635 to 2874 of the family's 2925-position model. The record is from RNAcentral.